UACUGGGGUCUCACCACCAUCAUUCUAAUGGGUUAGGUUAUACUGGGCUCUCACCACCAUCAUUCUAAUGGAUUAUGUUAUACUGGGCUCUAACCAUCAUCAUUCUAAUUGGUUAGGUUAUACUGCGCUCUCACCUCCAUCAUUCUAAUGGGUUAGGUUAUACUGGUCUCUAACCAUCAUUCUAAUGGGUUAGGUUAUACUGGUCUCUCUCCACCAUCAUUCUAAUGGGUUAGGUUAUACUGGUCUCUCACCACCAUCAUUCUAAUGGGUUUGGAUAUACUGCGCUCUCACCUCCAUCAUUCUAAUGGGUUAGGUUAUACUGGUCUCUAACCAUCAUUCUAAUGGGUUAGGUUAUACUGGUCUCUCUCCACCAUCAUUCUAAUGGGUUAGGUUAUACUGGUCUCUCACCACCAUCAUUCUAAUGGGUUUGGAUAUACUGCGCUCUCACCUCCAUCAUUCUAAUGGGUUAGGUUAUACUGGUCUCUAACCAUCAUUCUAA
Molecule: non-coding RNA, 499 nt
Organism: Oncorhynchus mykiss (rainbow trout)
Lineage: Eukaryota; Metazoa; Chordata; Actinopteri; Salmoniformes; Salmonidae
Source: RefSeq, a predicted model, not a curated record